UAAACUAGGAUUAGAUACCCUAUUAUUUUAAAUGUUAAUUUUAUAGUACUGAAUUAUUAAUAGUUAUGUUCUUUAAAAUUAAAAAAUUUGGCGGUAUUUUAGUCUUUUCAGAGGAACCUGUCCUGUAAUUGAUAGUCCACGAUAAUAAAUACUUUAUUUUUUAAUUUAUAUAUCGUCGUAAAUUUGAAUAUUUUAAAAGAAAUUAAAUAUUCAAGAUUUUAAAUUAAAAAUAAAAUCAGAUCAAGGUGUAGUGAAUAAUAAAGUAGAGAUGGGUUACAUUAAAUUUAUUUUAGGAUUAAUUUUUUUAAAAAAUUUUGAAUUUGGAUUUGAAAGUAAUUUUUUGGAUUUACUAAAGAUGAUUUUAGCUCUAAAAUAUGCACACAUCGCCCGUCGCUCUUAA
Molecule: ribosomal RNA, 400 nt
Filed under: Bruchidius malindiensis
Lineage: Eukaryota; Metazoa; Arthropoda; Insecta; Coleoptera; Chrysomelidae
Description: partial 12S ribosomal RNA
Source: RNAcentral